AUACGGAAGGUCCGGGCGUUAUCCGGAUUUAUUGGGUUUAAAGGGAGCGCAGGCGGAGAUGCAAGCGUGACGUCAAAUUUCGGGGCUCAACCCCGUCUCGCGUCGCGAACUGCGUCCCUUGGUUGCGGGAAGGGGAGGCGGAACUCGUGGUGUAGCGGUGAAAUGCCUAGAUAACACGAAGAACUCCGAUCGCGAAGUCAGCCUUCCGGCCCGUCAACGACGCUCAUGCUCGAAGGUGCGGGUAUCAAACAGGAUUAGAUACCCUGGUAGUCCGCACAGUAAACGAUGGACACCCGCGGUUUGGCCUGUAUGGCUGAGCCGCCAAGCGAAAGCGUUAAGUGUCCCACCUGGGGAGUACGCCGGCAACGGUGAAACUCAAAUGAAUCGACGGGG
This 393-nucleotide ribosomal RNA is filed under the name uncultured bacterium. RNAcentral's name for it is "partial 16S ribosomal RNA". It matches the Rfam family "Bacterial small subunit ribosomal RNA", at positions 523 to 918 of the family's 1533-position model. The record is from RNAcentral.